AACGAACGCUGGCGGCAUGCCUAACACAUGCAAGUCGAACGAGACCUUCGAGUCUAGUGGCGCACGGGUGCGUAACGCGUGGGAACCUUCCCUUAGGUUCGGAAUAACUCCCCGAAAGGGGUGCUAAUACCGGAUAAUGUCUUCGGACCAAAGAUUUAUCGCCUUUGGAUGGGCCCGCGUUGGAUUAGCUAGUUGGUAGGGUAAAAGCCUACCAAGGCGACGAUCCAUAGCUGGUCUGAGAGGAUGAUCAGCCACACUGGGACUGAGACACGGCCCAGACUCCUACGGGAGGCAGCAGUGGGGAAUAUUGGACAAUGGGCGAAAGCCUGAUCCAGCCAUGCCGCGUGAGUGAUGAAGGCCGUAGGGUUGUAAAGCUCUUUUACCCGGGAUGAUAAUGACAGUACCGGGAGAAUAAGCACCGGCUAACUCCGUG
Molecule: ribosomal RNA, 433 nt
Filed under: uncultured bacterium
Lineage: Bacteria
Description: partial 16S ribosomal RNA
Rfam family: Bacterial small subunit ribosomal RNA
Source: RNAcentral